CCCACUUAUUUUUCAUUUCGAUUUUAGGGUUUCUUAUGUCUAUAGUUAGGGUUUUCCAGUUUACUUAUUUCUUUCCUCUGGAUGAUUUACUGCUGAUGUUUUCUUAUCACAGCUUAAGUAAUGGUGAAAGUAUCAGGUGCCGCAAAUGUGUAUCACAAAGUACGAUGGAAAAUUGCUCGAUUUUCUGAUUAGAAUGGACGGAAUUGGAAAGAUCGGAAAACUCAUGCUAGAAGGUGCUACAGAAGGGAAUUUGUGACAAAGAGAAAGUUAGCUCAUGUCACUCCUAGCUUGAGCUCUGAGCGUGUGCAUAGGAGAGAUUCUUUCGAUGCUGCAUAGGUUGUUAGUGGACAGGGGUCUAUUGGACAUCCAGACUCUCACCAGGACACUCCCUCAGAUGGUCGCUCUGUUCGUGGCCGACAUGAUGCAUGUUGAUUUGCUGGACUUUAUAGCUCAUUUGUAUAUCUUUUUAUAUAUGUACAUUUUAGACUUUCAUAUUAUAUAUUCAUGCAUGUAUGAAGUUUCUAGAUUAUACUUUAUACAAUUUGUGUUUGAU
Cryptomeria japonica (Japanese cedar) is the source of this 553-nucleotide long non-coding RNA. RefSeq lists it as uncharacterized. The record is from RefSeq and is a predicted model, not a curated record. The transcript is spliced from 5 exons. NCBI's taxonomy places the organism in Eukaryota, Viridiplantae, Streptophyta, Pinopsida, Cupressales, Cupressaceae.